AAAAAAAUGAAAUAACACGAGAAUGGCCCUGAAGGAGUUGAUGGCCUGGGAGGGAGGUGGUACACCCAAGUAAAUGUGAGAUGACAGCUGCGUAUAAGCUCCAUGGACGUGAGAAAAGGGGGAGCAGUGGAGGUGGGCUUUAGAGCUAUGCCACCUUGAGAAACGCAUUUCUGGCCAAGAGGAAAGAUCACAAAGGCCUGGGAGAAGGAAUCGUCUUAGAAGAAACCCUCCAGCUCCUACCUGUUACCUUGUGCAGAUAGAAAGGUCCUCAGGAGUCCAUCAGGGGGACAGAUGAAGACUGCUCGGCAGGAAGCUGGUGGAAACUUCUAAGGUAGAAAUGCUGGCAGAAAUUAAGAAGUCGAAACUAUGAACAUGGUUGUCAGUGGCAUUUAUAAGCAAUCUUAUUUUAGAAAACUUGAGUAAAAGUCUUGUGUGAUUUUUGGCCGGGCCCUCUGGUAGCUGCUGGGUGACUGCAGGAGCUGGGCCAGCAGUCAGGGAGGACAGGUCUGCAUGUGGAGAGAAGCUGGGCUGUGGGUGCCCAGGCUGGGCAGCUGCAUGACGUGUGGAGGUUUCCAGUGGUCAUGAGCAUGACUAGACAGUGUACAGCCUCUCCCAUGAGGCUGCGGUCAAAUCAGGACUGGAUUCCAAACUGGAGCCUGAUGGAGGAAUGAACUAAACUGCAAGGGUGGCUGCUGGCACAGAGCUCCUCAAGAUGUUGACAGAGGGAGAAAUGUGGUGUUCUCAGAUGAGGGACGGAUGUGGCUAAAAAUCCCCAGUUUUAGGGAGUGUGGGUAGAGAUCAUGGUUUUAAGGACCCGGAGAAUAAAA
Molecule: long non-coding RNA, 827 nt
Filed under: Homo sapiens (human)
Lineage: Eukaryota; Metazoa; Chordata; Mammalia; Primates; Hominidae
Description: HSALNT0253085
Source: RNAcentral